Non-coding RNA from Rattus norvegicus (Norway rat), 10308 nucleotides. The record is from RefSeq and is a predicted model, not a curated record. NCBI's taxonomy places the organism in Eukaryota, Metazoa, Chordata, Mammalia, Rodentia, Muridae.
GCAACCUACACCGGCAGGUGAGUGCUGUAAGGGAAUUAAACAUUCCUUCAAUAUCCCAGAUUUGAACAGUUAAAUUCUUGACUACAGAAAUACCAACUAUCAUUUCAACUGGUUCCAAGCAGAAAACCAACCUGGGAUAUUGGAACAUUAUAUGAAAAUAUAGUUUAAAAAUCCACUGUGCUAAUACGAGAUUAUGUGCUCCCCUUUAAGAUUGAAAAAAUAGUAGAUGUUGAGUCAUGUUUACACGUAUACACUGUGCUGAUCCAAACGCUAAUUAACGCUGUAGACUGUAUUCAGCCAUUUCUUUCCAUUUUGUGUCAGCUUCCCUCCCCCAGUUUGGGAUCUUAGGAGAAGAGCUGUUGAAAGACAACAUGCUCAUCAACCUACUUUUAAAAACCUCGAAUGACUUUCAGGUAGUUAUGGCCUGAGCCCUUUAAACAAGGUCUUCCUUAAUAACUGUGCUAUUCCAGGCUGCACUGCUUGGCUACAGUGCCCAAAAAGAGGGCCUUUGAAGAUUGGGUUGGUAAAUCUAUGAACUUUCUCCAGUUUAAUUUACUUACUUACAUAACUACCUAUCAAACGUGUGUGUGUGUGUGUGUGUGUGUGUGUGUGUGUGCGCGCGCGCACGUGUGUGUGUGUAUGUGUGUGUGUGUGUAUGUGUGUGUGUGUGUGUGUAUGUGUGUGUGUGUGUGGUCUUUGUAUAUAUGUAUAUAUCCCCAUCCCUAAGUUACCACAGUCCCAGUACCAAAAUAUAUGGGACACGGGCCAACUAUUUCUGUUGUAUCAAAGCAAAAUCUAGAAAUUUCUCUCAUAAAAUCCAUAUAACGCAUUCUCAUGGAGUAGUUCCCUUUCAAGUAGGACGAUCCCAUUGAUCCAGAGUGGGAUGUACUGAUGAGCACUGCACUGAGGAGGCUUCUUCAUUCUUCAGCUGCCAAAUACAUCCAGAAAUAAACCAAAUAUAUUCGCUAGACAUGUUUUGAGAGCGAAGAAAGUCUGUUUCCCUCUAAUUGUAAUCAACGCUGUUCUUGUGUAUCUUGGAACGUCAUCAUUUUGACUUUUUCUUUACAUUUCAUUUAAAUACUUCUACUCAGUUGGCUUAAGUAUGAGGAGGUUUUUUCUGAGAAAACUUAUAAAAGCAACGAAGUGUCUCCAUGUUAGGUCCUAAUUAUGCACACAUGAAUGGAGUUUUCAUAUAAAUGUGAUCGUUAAAGGAUAUUGUUCUCAUUUUCAGAUGUAAUAAUGAGAAUCCUUACUUCUACCCCAAUUACUCAGAAUGGCCACCUAGGUCACUUCUCAAUGUGUUUGAUCUCAGCAACAUAGUUAGAAGAGUAAAAUUAUAUUACCCUUUGAAGUCCAAUCCCUAUUCACUACAAAGUUUAAGUAAAAUUUUAAAUAAAAUAGCAUCCUGGAAAACAAAGCUUGUGAGAUAAAUUCUGAAAUGAAGGGGAGUUCAAAGAGAGGUGACUUUCCAGCUAAGUCUAUUAUUCAAUUAAUAAAAGAAAUAGUCUAAGCCAUCCAUUUGCCGAGUUCUUUAGGUAUUAAAAGUAGUUAUCACGUUAUAGCAUAACAGGUAAAUUACAACAGAGGUUUAAAAUUUUUAUUCAAGUUUAUUCGCUCACCAAUUCCCAAUUAGAAAAUGGACUUCACAUAUAUCGGAGGCAUAAUGAGAGCACAUUUCUAAUGGCUACAUUUGCUCUUCUCUUGGGCUGAAUCCCCUUCUCCAGCUAGUGAAGAAGAACACAGCUAUGAUCCCCUUGUACCCUGAGACGGAAAGCAGUUCCCAUCAGGACAAUUCAUCCUGAGAGCGCUGGCCUCUUUUUAGGUCUGAGAGAAUGGUGGGAAAACUCAUCCUCCCUUUGAAAAGAAAUAAUCUUGACCUAUAUUAACUGAACCUUCAAAUGCCAGAGUCUAAAUCCAAGUUCACAUCCGAGUUUCUUUGAAGAUCGCAUACCGUGUUUAUACAGACUCUAACGCUGUUUACUGUAUUCAGCCAUUUAUGGCAAUUUCUUUCAAUUCUGUCUCAGCUUCCUCCCUCAGUUUGGUGUCUUACUUGGAGAACAUUUAAAUGACAAGGUGCUAAUCAACCUACUUUUCAAAUCAUCAAUGGCAUUUAAAUAGUUUUUGGCCUAAGCCCUAUAAAUGAUCUAGUCCUUAAAUAACUGUACUAUUCCAGGCUGCAUUGUUUGGACCAUGGUGGUCUUAGAGGUGGGUUUAAGAGGGCUCUUGGAGGUAGGGUUGGUAAAUCUAUGACCUUUCUCCAACUUAAUUUAUUUACCCACAUCACUACUUACCUUGUUCACUGGAUUUCAGGAAAACCAGAUACUACUGAAAUUCUGAAAUACCCUCAGAUGCCGAGAACUUACAAAGUCAGAAAUACAAAGUGACAGAUUUAAACUUCGAAGAUGCAAAUGGGAUCCUAGUCAUGCCUAUAACUACAAGAGAGCUGAUUAAUAUUCAUGACCUGGGUCUUCUUAUCUCGAAAUUGAGAUAAUGUCAUUCUAUAUAACAAUAUAAUCAGGUAAUAGAAUAAAUUCUUAAUAUCUUAAAGCCCUUCAGUAGAUGUUGGAUGACUGUACACAUUUAGAAUAUAUUGUAUAAGAUAGGUCAUAUUUGCUUUGAACGUCUCUCACACUGGUGCUAUAAUAGAUAACUCACAUAUCACUGAUUUUCCUAAUUCAUUAAAAUAUCUAUGAUAAAAGGAAAACUGUUAGCACAAAUUCACUGGUACACAGUCAAAGGCACAGAUAAAGACAGUCAGUCAGGAUUCUUUCCAGUAGAUAACAGCAAAACGUCAACAAAAUAAUUCUGUGACUCAGUGCUUCAUUUUAGCAGUUGGACUAAGAAAGGAAAGAGUACCAUAGUUUUGAGAGGCUGGGGAAACGUUUAUACACAAACUGGAAAGCAUAGAUAGGCCUUUCUGUAAAAGGCUAACAUGCACUGUGUAAAGACACUGAAUUGUGAGUCUAAAUCUUUUGAAGCUUUAUCUUCCAUAAUAAGGAUUUUUACUUUGACACUACAGGCAAACCAUUGAUAGCUAAAGACAUUUGAAGAAAAGAGAAAAAGAAAAAAUAUUAACCUCGUCAUAGAGGGAUUUGGCCAUGUGUAUAAUAAGAGUCUGAACCAAACAUUAGGAAGGUCAAAGGUUAAAAUUUGGAGUUUGUAACUAAUAAAUAAAAAAAUCAGAUAUUCUAAGAUGACAUUUCAAAAUGGAAUGCCUUCUCGGUUAGUCAGCACAGAGACUAGGUCUGUAAGUGACAGAAGCCAGUGUGUGACACUAAUCAGCAGAGACACAAGUGAAGUUUUGAGACACAAACAAUUCCCUGGGCUACAGUGUAAAAAAUAGCUCUGAACUCUGGCUGUGCAUCUGAAUUACUUACAGAGCUUUAAACAUUUGCUCAUGCUCGAGGCCUCACCCCAGAGGUUGUGAUCAUGGCUGGGGUUGAGCAUAGCCGGAGCAGAGAAAGAACAGAGGGGGGAAAGGAGCCUCAGGGAACUCCUGGGGCAAGGUAGGAAGAAGAGAUUGAAAAAGAAGCAGAGUUUGCAGAAGUGAAAGGAAAAGCCAGAGAAUGAAAUAUGGCAGAAUCCGAUGCAAAAGCCAAUUUCAAGAGAGCAUGGCGAUAAGCACAAUGACCACUGCUGAAUAGAGAUCUGUGGUGAGAGAUCUAAACAGUGCCUGCUUCCUGUUUAUGUGCAGUCCUGUGAAUGGAUGAGGGCUGGGAAAAUGGCAUCUUCUGUCUGGGACUCAGAUGCACUGACAGCCUAGGAAGCCUACACUGGACCAGAAGCAGAUGGUCUCUGCUGGGUUGAAUGGGAUUGAUUAAACUAAGCUUGGAGUUGCAACCUUCCACAUCCCAUGAAUAUGAUAAAAAAUUAGCCCUCUGCCAGAGAAGAAAAAUGUAACAACAUUCACAGUGAAUAACUGAUUCAUUCAUUCAUUCAACCAGUCAGUCAGAUAUUUCUACAUCCAUUCAUUUAGCAGCCAUUUACUGCAGGCAAUGAAGAUAGCACUUCAAAACAAUCUUGAAGGCACGUGAUAUGUGUUAAUUUGCAUAUAAUUUUAAUCUGUUUCAAAACUGUAGUACAGCAUAUUUAACAUGUAUUUUUGAAGUCCUUGAAAUUCAGUUUGACAGACUUUUUUAAAGCAAAAAGAGUAUUUUUAUUGUGAGCAGUCUAUUUUUCCUCCUCCAAUAUCCCCCACAGUACUUCUUCAAGUGUCUACCUCAUUAGAAUUUAGUUUUGUUAUCCUAAAAGUGUCAGACUAAUGGGUACUUUUAAAAUUAUUACAUUAAUGUUCUUAAUGCAAAUUUCAGCUUUGAAGCCAUUCAUUAACAAAAGAGAAGGCCAGAUCUCUUUAACUAAGCAUGAGCCAUCCUCCCUCUUCUGCAACUACCACUGCUGUUUCUACAAAAGCCUUAAAGGAAACCAAUUAAAUUAAUAUUCUCCUGUAAUACAUGAGCAAAUCCUCACCUCUGUCACUGGCUUCUCUUCUGAUUGUAAGACAUUCCCUGUGUGUUAUAAUUUCAUGCAUCUCUACCACUGAACUGGUUUUCAGAAAACUGUAAGUAAAGAAGGAUAUUGUCGCUGCUAGCAUGGUUUAGUACACAAUGUCACCACAUCUAUAAACACAGAUGGAUCAUGGCUUUAGUUACAGUCUCUACCCAGAUAGCUACAGUUUUCAGUUUUUAUCUAGUUGAAGAGUAGACACAGGAGUCAACCACUGGGAAAGUCAGAAAGCCUCACAGCAGCAGAACCACAGGCAGUAAAAAGAAUGUGCAAGUCAGUAAAAGCAAAAUGAAAGAAAGAAUCUUAAUUUUCAUGAGUUUUUCACACACAUAGGUGGAACUAAGCAGAUGGAGAAAAUAAUUCUGUUUCUAAGAGAAAAGGGGUGUUAUCAAUAUUUAAUCAUUUUUAUAUUACAGCUGUAAGAGGUGGCUUUUGAACUUGUUUGUUAAGAUAACCUUGUUCUUCUGGCUCCUUCUGGAACUUUCUAAUCGGCCCAAUGUGUCUGGGAACCAGAAGGCAGAGUUUACAAGCACCUGGGUAGGUAUGAUGACAGAGUGGAGAGAGGGGGAGACAAUAGCACUGUACGCUGCUUUGGCUCAAUGCACUUGUAUUUAGAGCUCAGAUAGCUAGGAAGAUGCUUCAGUCCCAGGAAGUCUGUCCCUAAAGCAUCAUUCCUCGUUUUCAAUUUUUCAUUGUAUUUAUUUCCUCUUUAUAGUUGUUAAUCAACCCCACUGUCCUUCUACAUCUUUGUUUUCUUCAACAUUAAUGACACAAGAAUUAGUCACAGUAAAUAGGAUGCAGUCUUGACUCAUAUCCACACCUUCCUCAAUAAUCAGUAUUCCAUCGCUAGACUAUCCAUUAAUUAUAUUUAUGUAUUUAGCUACUAGGCUAUAAGUAACAUGAAUAUAUAAAUCAUAAUCUUCAUCUCUGUAUUUAGUGUUACAUGUUAUAAAUUAAAUUCAAAUGUUCAUUUUUUUAUAAAACAAUAAGCAACAAUCCACAAUGGAUUGUUAAGCUUUUUGCCACAAUUGCAUAACUUCGAAAAUGUCAAUUACUCAUGAGUUACAUAAUUCUUUACAAUUGAUAAACAGCACUUCAAAUAGCAGCACAAGACACACAUCAUCCUGUAAAAGAAUUUCAAAGAAAAUGGCAUUUUGUGGCAAAAGAACUGAAAUAAAAAUAAAAACCACAAACAGCUGAAAUACACUCACAGCUGUGACCACUGGUAGUUGUUCCUUCAGAAGGGGAGGGUCCCAAAGGCAAGAGUGAACAGGAAUGGGUGGGGCUGAAGGGAAGAAUUUAUCCACAUGUACUAACUGAUUUUGACCCUAGAGAUAAAGUCAUAAUAUGCAUAGGCCAUUUCAAAUGAGCAACUCCACGGUGACACAGUGAUUUCCUAGAAGGAGACCCUACUGCGUCAAGAUCCCAUUAUUAAUGAAAGGGAUUAGGAGGAAAAAUAUGUUCCCCAUUACACAGCAUGGGACACAUUUAAUGAGCUAUGUUUCCUCUAUUUCCCAUCCCUCAGUAUUCUUCAAUGCCAUCAAUGGGUGUCUCACAUUCAAUUCAGAAUAACUGGAGACAAGUGAUGUAACAAUCCAAGAAACAUGCUUACUGUAUGAAAGUAUAAUGUAUAAAUGAGCUGAAAGGAACUCAUACGAUUUGAACUUUCAGAGUUCAUUCUUAUGCUCCAUCUGUUUUGUUUCCUUGUAAAGUGGUUACUGAUACUAUCGAGAUUGCCACAUUCCCCUGACAUUAACUUCUGGCAUGAGAAUGGUAUAAUUGUUGAAAUUAAUCUGAAAUAUUGGUAUGAUAUUAUUAACAAAAAUGAUAUUUAUUUUCUCAGGUUUUCUCCAAGACUUUGUUUCUAAUCCUGAAUAUCCCAUCUCUUCUGGCUCCCUUGGCUGUGACAAUUUGUCUGAUGGCCUCGAAUUUAAUGACCUUGCCUGCUCUGAGGGGCAUUGGUCAGACAUUUUAUAGAAUAUUCUUUAUUCUGGGCUGUGUCUUAAAUUUUGUUAUAAUCAGACAAGGUUUAUAGGUUUGGGGUAAUCACAGUAGUAAAGUCCAAUUCCCAACACAACAUAUCAAAGAUACGUCUUAUUGUGGUGAGUUAUCACUGUCAGUGUUGACCUGGACAACCUGAUUGGAAUGUGUUGGCUCCACUGGAAGCUCUCUGGCUCCCCUACUACACUGCUCUUCCCAAAGGACACUCAACAUGCAUAUAUAGUACUCAAUGAGCAAUACCAUUGAUAGCAGAGAACCUACGUGAAUAAUUUGAAAUUUUUAUGUGUAAAAAAUUACAUGUAUCACUUAUUUAUUUACCUAGUAGUUUAUUAAUAGCAUAGAACUCUUGAAGAUUUAUUUGCUUUGGAUCAUUCCCAGAGCAUUUAUGUAUUGAUUGAUUGAUUGAUUGAUUGAUUCUGUUUUUCUCUUUAUGGCUAUUAGAAGUAUUUUCAUUUGGUCCCCAUGUCGCUUUUAUAUAUUACAAUUACUAUGGGAUCAUUUGAGCAUUUAACAAAAAAUCCAUGUUACUUGCCCUCCCGUUGUUGCAUGGUACUUCAGGACAACACUAUAUGUCAUGUGAUCCAGGGUAGAAUUAGUCAUUGCUCUUAGGCAGUUCUGAUGCACAAUUAGAAACCACUAUUUGAGAACUAACAAUGCUUAUUUGUUGCUUCCAUAGUGUGGCUCCUUCUAGGGUUACCUUGGCAUUCAGAACAAUGCUGUUUGUAAUUAUAUACUAGAAAGUGAAUGUACAGACAUGGGUAUUUAUGGCCAUCUUUAUCCUUCUAUGUUGAUAUGUAUAUAUCUCCAUCUAUAUUGAACUAAGCAUGAGUUCACAUUGAUGUCCCUGUUGCAAUUUAGUGUCUAGUCUCUUUUCUACUUGUCUCUGUCCUCUCAUACUAUAUUACUUAAGACAUACAAAGUGUACUUCUACACACUUUUCCCAUGAAAAGAACAUGGUUUAAAAAAGGAAAGUGAUUUCCCAAUUGACAGUUCAACCUACAGAAAAAAAGUUCUAUGAAGAUGUUAAUAACAGAAAGUAUGAACAAAGACUUCCUUCCUCAUUAUAAGCACUGCUUAGUCUAAGUUCUCAUAAGUACAGGCCUUAGAUGAGGCUGAAAUGUUCAACCUUCACUCAAUAUUUCUCUUGGGGCAAGUUAUAAUUGGAUGUCACACCUAUUAACUCAACUUCAUCCUCGUAAUUAUUUAAUAAUUUUCCAUGUAUUUCUUUUUUACAACUGCAUUUUGAAUAGCACUAAUAUAUGCAAUGAUAACAUUUUGAGACAUGCGAACUACUUAAAAUUGUAAUUACUGUAUGAUCAUCCCAAAGGAAUCAUUGAAACUAGAGUAACACUUUCAGACCAAUAUAAAAAUAAGUCAUUGCUGUAUUCUGGGUGGCUAAAAAAAUCCAAUGCUUUAGUAAACUUUGUUAUAAAAAUAAAUAUUUUGAGUUUCCAUAAACCUAAAAUCCUCAAAAUGAAAACUGAGUGUGAAUAAUGAAAAUCUAUAUCCAUGUGUACUCAUGGCCUUAUUAAACCAACGUUUCCACCUACUUUUAUGUAAGGAAUGCAAACAAUAUCCACCUAGGAGUUCCAAGAUCACUCAUUCGUGGUACAUCAGCCAGGCAAGGAUUCACUCUUCCUCCCUUCUUUUUUGGGACCUUUUUAGAGUGCGAUAACUUCCCUUGAAUCACUGCAGGUCCACCUGUUUUGUACUCAUCCUCACUUCAAAGCCUCUGUCACAUAAACCUUUUCACAGUCACUCCAAGAGGGCAAGGAUGGCAUAGGAACUAGUCUUAGUUAAACAGAGCUCGUGCUAGUGAGUAUCUCUGUAUUCAUAAAGUAAAUAGCCAGGGUCGUUGCUGAGCAUAGAUUCUACAACUAAGCUAUAUUUCUAACUCCCAAAGCUCCAGUCAAAAUGUAGUAUCAACUUGUAGAUGUAUUUUUGGUAACAUCCGCAACAAAAACAAAAGAAAAACCCAGACAAAAUACUCAAAGCAAAAAGUUGAAGAAGAUGCAUCAGAAAAGCAAGAAUAAUGGUCAACAAGAUACACAAAAGCAGAGCCUGAAAUUCCUUCAGCCUAAUGCCUUAUUUCCAGGAUCAGGUAAGAACAAAGAAAACAUAGCCAAGUCCACUGGAUUACUACAGCAAGAAAUGAAGCUCAGUAAAGAGUCCAAGGUGGGCAGAGUCACGGACUGAGGCUAUAGCUGCAGAAAUGUUUCCAGAGGCCCUAGGAGCAAAGACACACAUACCAGCUAAGUAUUAGUUGGCGAAUACCUGCGGGUAAACUACCCAGGAGGGUAGAAAUCACUGCAUCAGCAGACACUGCCAAGGACACGUAGGAAUAGCUUUUCUUCUCAAGGGGAUGACUGAGAAGUCCUGACUGGUUACUCCCAGACAGUGCACAGCAGGGUCAUGGUUCAGGAGCAGAAGACACUUUAGAUUCAGCCUAAGUGGUUCUCUGGUGCCAAUGUACAAAUUCCUGAACACCUGCAAGGAUUGAACUAGUUCUAAGAAAUGUAGCUAUGUCUCAGAAUAACAAUAAACAAUAUUAAUAGUACUAAAAAUUAAAUCCAGGGACUGGAGAGAUUGCUCAGUCCUUCUGAGCACUGGCUGCUCUUCUAGAGGAACUAGGUUCAAUUUUGUGCACAGAGGGUGGAGUUCAGUCACCUAGAACUCCAGUUCUAGGGGAUCCAACUUCAUCUUCUGGCAGCACUAGGCAAUCAUGUGAUACACAGAUAUCCAUGCAGACAAAACACACGUACACACGAAAUAAAAAAAUAAAAUAAACUAUAUCCAUCAUCCAGUAAGAUAGAAAUAACAAAGUCUGGCACUUAGUAAAAAAUUACCAAGCACACUCAGUGUAAGAAAACUAUGACUUACAAAAAGGACAUAAUUAAGCAAUGUGUACCCACUAAGCACUGGAAACUCAUUAGAAUCAACACUUAAACAGUGAGCAUGGUUAUCCUUUACAAGUUAGAAUCUUAAGAAUAGAAUAUAUUCACAUAAAUGGAUGGAUGGAUAGAUGGAUGGAUAGAUAGAUAGAUAGAUAGAUAGAUAGAUAGAUAGAUAGAUAGAUAGAUAGAUAGAUAGAUGUUCAAUAUUUGAUGUUCAACAGCUAAUGAGGCAAUUUUGAGAGGUGUUUAGAACACUGUGGAUGGGGCCUAGAUAGAAACAAAAGAAGUUUCCUUGGAACAUUAUGCCUGGUCCCCAGUCACUACCUAAAUCUCAGUUUCCUGUCCUUUGUGAGAUAAGUAGCCACUGUCCAUGUUCUGUGUCUUGAUAUUCAGCCUCAUCAUGAAACCAAAAUUAACAUACCCUCAGACUCAAAUCUAAGAAACCAUAUGCCAAAACAAAUAAUAGCAUUCUCUAUUGUUCUGUGUUGUAUUUUUAGCACAGUGGUCAGAUCUCUUCAGAGUCUAGAAAGGAGUCAGAGGAAAACAAAGACAUUGGUCCAGAGAAACAAAAGCAACAAUUGCACCACCCUUCUAACAGUGCAAGUGAGGAGAACUUCCCAGGUGACAUUUUGAAGGAAAGAAGACCACAUAUCCCAACAGAAAAGGUCAUUUAACGUGAAAAUGUGCAUCCCUGCUCUUAGCACCAGCAAGCGAAAAGCCACCCUGAAACCUGGAAAUGGAAGGAGUGUUCUCCAAAGCAAAAAAAUAGAAAGCCCAGAGCUGGCAGCUUUCUUAAUGGUGAGAUACUAACCAUUUUCCUCUUAAAGUAUCCACUCAUGCCUCUUCAGUUCAACAUCUGUAAUGGAGGGUCUAACCAGAGAAUGCAAUAAGAGGAAAUAAAGUCAUUUCA